UUUCUUUCUUUUUUAUUUUACUUUUCUCUUUUUUAUCUUUAUUUCCUAAUUUAUCCCUGGUCCCUUUCUCUCUUCUCCCAGCUUCCUAUCCUUCAUCGUCUCUCUCUCCAUCACCUCCCUUUGUCUCUUUACCACUGCCACAAAUGGCAUUCCACCACAGUCAAAGCCAUUUCUUCCCCAAGCCUUAGAAAGGUGUUAUUCACUUAUUCCACAACAAGUUCAUGUCUUGCAAAGAGUAACUUUAUGUCCAUAUAUACGAAGAUUGUAUAAAGAUGUUGGAAAACACAACAUUCAAACUCUAUUUUUUCGUAAGAUUUCAAUGCAAAAACAAAGCACAAAAGAAUAAAUAUAAAUUUAUGAAAAAUAAUGUUCAAAUUUGAGAAUCUAGUACAAAAAUCAACAAACAAAAUCCAAAAUGUGAACCACCGGGAAACCCCAUUCACCAACCAGAUCCAAGCAUGAUUGAAACCAUAUCACCAUUGUGAACCAAAACAAAACUCACCCUGAACCUAGUAAAUCCCAUUGCGAAUCGUGAAAGAGACCACAAAUCACCGCUAAUGGCCUCGUUAAAACGUUGAAACUUCUGUCGAUUGCAUCGUACAUUGCAACCACUAAAGCCAAAAAUGAAGUGUUAUCCAAGAUCGUUCUCCUUCAUAGCGACAAUGCUUCCUUCUUGUGAUGCGGAUGUAAAGGAGGUGUGUAACAUCGACCAUCAGAACAGAGGAGUCUACUCAUAUAUCUAUUUCAAUUGAAGCCCAAUAUUGGGAAAAGAGAUAUACAAUUGGGCUUCUUUAGAUCUAUGAUAAGGCUUCCUUCAUAUUUGCGAGAUGAUGGCUAGAGAAAGAUGUUAGGUGGUCAACCACCGGGGAAGAAGGUGGAGAUGAAGUGGUCGGGUCUCUGAGGGAAGAGUGAUCAACUUAGAAGGAGCUCAGAACAAAAUUGGGAAAAGGGAGAAAAGAAAGAAACAAGAAAAAGUAGAAAGGAAAUAAUUUUGAUUUGUAGAUCUCAAGUUAAAAAAAUCUAAUUAUGUAAAAUAACUUUCGUACCGUGCAAAAAAUAUUUUACUUUUACAUAAUAGAAUCCGUCUUUACUGAUAUCUUGAACUCAAAU
This 1110-nucleotide long non-coding RNA is filed under the name Glycine max (soybean). RNAcentral describes it as "long non-coding RNA (GMAX_LNC002792)". Lineage: Eukaryota; Viridiplantae; Streptophyta; Magnoliopsida; Fabales; Fabaceae. The record is from RNAcentral.